Molecule: long non-coding RNA, 245 nt
Filed under: Salvia miltiorrhiza (redroot sage)
Lineage: Eukaryota; Viridiplantae; Streptophyta; Magnoliopsida; Lamiales; Lamiaceae
Description: long non-coding RNA (SMIL_LNC011280)
Source: RNAcentral
UUUGGGUUUUUUUUUUCUCUCUUGGUUCUGGAUCGGUUGUGAGCCGGGAGGCCUAAGGGUAAUGGUUCGGCCGGAAUCCUUGAGACCUCCUAACUCAGCUCUGUCAACCUUGGUCCUUGACGAGUACUUUUUUUCCUCAGCUGUUAUGAGGUUUUAACGAGGCUCGGCCCUUAGUCUGCAGCUUUGUACUUUCAAGGGUUUUUGGUUCUCCGUUGUUGUUUCUUUUCUUUUUAAUAAAAUCUUAU